AGGUAACUAUUUUAAAAGCUAUUUAAAAUAUUUUAAAUGAUAUUCGGUAUCAUAUUUAUACCAAGAUAUAAAUCAGAAUUAUUUGCAUCUGUAAAUAUUCCUUUUAUGGCUAAACAAAAAGCAAAACACUUAUAUUUUUCGAAAAGGGCACACAAUGCUAAUGGUUUGCUCUGCGCACCUGCCAGCUUGGUUUGCAGUUUAAGCCACCCUGGAAAUUCUCAUUUCUUUGUGCAAUAUUUUAUUCUGUGCUUUUCUUCAGGGCAGAUUGGUUCUGCCUGCACUUUAUUUCUGAACCCAUGUUCAUUCAAAAUGGACUGCCAGACAUAAAUGCUCUAUCUAGUGUUGCCACUGCUGCUGCAGGGGCUGCUGACUAACAGCACCCCUCCCCCAACCAGCUCCUGACCCAUUCUCCUGCCCUAUCCUUUGUUGACAAUGGUAGUCCAUUGUCAACAAAGAGUGUACAAUUGUGGAAUACUCAGCAGCAAUUUUGGUAAUGUUUUGCUUUGAAUAUUUUGAAAGUAUUUUUGAAGUCUAUAAAUAGAUGUGCCCCAAGCUUUUCCUUUUUCUUGAUUUUAAUAUUUGGAGAUGAGCUCUCAUCCCACAGGGCAGCCUCGGGGACUGCAGUGGCUGGAAUGCUUUCAGAGAACAAAUGUGGCUCUGUGGCUCUCUUUUCAUAAUAAUAUCAACAUCAUAUAGAUUUAAUAACAGGGUGAUAGAGGACAUUUUGAUGAUGGGGCAAAUUCUCUGAUCUGCCAAGGAAAGCAUCUGAUUCUCUCAUGUACCAAUUAAUUAUUGAAGCAACUGGAAAUAAUAGGCUACUCUGCUUGCUUCUUUCCUGCAAAGGAAUGGAGUUGGUGUGGUGGUGGUGGUUUGUGUGUGUGUGUGUGUGUGUGUGUGUGUGUGUGUGUGUGUUUGCACAAGCAUACAUGUGAGCACUUGUCUGUGUUCAAUAAGGAAUCUUGGGCAGAAAUUUCUUCACUGUGUUCUUAAAGAUUAUAGGGACGUUAUCUGUACACGUCUGGUAUGACAAUAGUAUUUCUAAGGAAUAGGAAUGCAAUCUUUCUUUUUCUUUUUCCUUUUUUGAAUUAUUUUUUCAUCCACACCCUUGAUGGACCUCAUUGUGAAUUAUUGUGUUUUAUUUUAAUGUCUACUUCUCAUUUACUAGCACCUUUUUUGUUUUGUUUUGUUUUACAGCCCACUCUCUAAGGCAGGCACUAGAUCAGUUGAGAAGAAAAUCUUGUUUUGCUUUAUGCCUCAAUAUGCAUCAUCCUCCUGCAUACAUAGAUUGCCUUGGUAUAAUCUGGUUACUUUACAAAACUAUUCCAUGAUAUUCAGACUUGAGUCAUCUUUCGCCCUAGAGUCUGUGGUUCUAUAAACUUUUUAGAUAGAGGGAGGUUGGAUUCUUGGAUUAUUGUAAAUUUGUUGCUUUCUAUUGUGACAAUAGUGUUUAUAUGCUUGACACCCUCAUAAUAAUAUUAAGCUCAAUUUUUUAGUGUGAUGUACUUUAUACAUUUGUAUAAAUGUCACAGCCUGUAAUCACUUUCUUUGUCAUCGACGAUUAAUCUAAAAAAAUCGAAUAAUUCACUGCCCCUUGCCAUUUACAUAUCGUCUGCUGCCAUCUGCUCUUCUCAGCAGCAGUAAAUGAUGGGUAAUUAACUCAGUGCCUUUGUCUUUCCCUUGCUGAAUGUCUGACACAUAUAGAUUUUCCUCUCUGUGCGGAUGUGUGUGUAUAUGUGCAUGUAAGAGGAAGAGGGAAGUGGUAAAGAAUAAAGUGCAAGGGAGAAUGAAUGAUACUUCACGGAUGCAUGCCAGCAUGAUAUCAUUGAAGGAGAGAAAGGCAAAGCAAGGUUCAGAGGAGUGGCCAAACUUCAUGACCUCACAUUUUAACCAAACCAAGAUGAAGAAACACUACUGGAACUAUGACUUUCUUGCACAAUUGAGAGAUUUUUCUAAAACCUUGAAAGCCAAGGUAAUAAUGGAAAGCCAAGGAAAGACUACAAAAUCCUUUUGUUAAUCAAGAUGCGAAAAAAGAUCAUGCA
This 2039-nucleotide long non-coding RNA is filed under the name Mus musculus (house mouse). Its description in RNAcentral is "long non-coding RNA chr3:16819058-16821097". The record is from RNAcentral. Lineage: Eukaryota; Metazoa; Chordata; Mammalia; Rodentia; Muridae.